CCAAGUGAUGAACAAACCGACACCUUAGGGAUUCCUCAUGCUUAAUACAUGAUGUGGAUAACGUUGUUAUAAGUUUCAGCCUUGUCUGAUU
This 91-nucleotide small nucleolar RNA is filed under the name Claviceps purpurea 20.1. Its description in RNAcentral is "A. fumigatus snoRNA Afu_455". It matches the Rfam family "A. fumigatus snoRNA Afu_455". Lineage: Eukaryota; Fungi; Ascomycota; Sordariomycetes; Hypocreales; Clavicipitaceae. The record is from Rfam by way of RNAcentral.